This 691-nucleotide ribosomal RNA is filed under the name Enterobacter cloacae. RNAcentral describes it as "partial 23S ribosomal RNA". It matches the Rfam family "Bacterial large subunit ribosomal RNA", at positions 2240 to 2925 of the family's 2925-position model. The record is from RNAcentral. Lineage: Bacteria; Pseudomonadati; Pseudomonadota; Gammaproteobacteria; Enterobacterales; Enterobacteriaceae.
CCGGGUUGCGGACAGUGUCUGGUGGGUAGUUUGACUGGGGCGGUCUCCUCCCAAAGAGUAACGGAGGAGCACGAAGGUUAGCUAAUCCUGGUCGGACAUCAGGAGGUUAGUGCAAUGGCAUAAGCUAGCUUGACUGCGAGAGUGACGGCUCGAGCAGGUGCGAAAGCAGGUCAUAGUGAUCCGGUGGUUCUGAAUGGAAGGGCCAUCGCUCAACGGAUAAAAGGUACUCCGGGGAUAACAGGCUGAUACCGCCCAAGAGUUCAUAUCGACGGCGGUGUUUGGCACCUCGAUGUCGGCUCAUCACAUCCUGGGGCUGAAGUAGGUCCCAAGGGUAUGGCUGUUCGCCAUUUAAAGUGGUACGCGAGCUGGGUUUAGAACGUCGUGAGACAGUUCGGUCCCUAUCUGCCGUGGGCGCUGGAGAAUUGAGGGGGGCUGCUCCUAGUACGAGAGGACCGGAGUGGACGCAUCACUGGUGUUCGGGUUGUCAUGCCAAUGGCACUGCCCGGUAGCUAAAUGCGGAAGAGAUAAGUGCUGAAAGCAUCUAAGCACGAAACUUGCCCCGAGAUGAGUUCUCCCUGAGACUUCAAGUCUCCUGAAGGAACGUUGAAGACGACGACGUUGAUAGGUCGGGUGUGUAAGCGCAGCGAUGCGUUGAGCUAACCGAUACUAAUGAACCGUGAGGCUUAACCUU